Molecule: long non-coding RNA, 380 nt
Filed under: Pongo abelii (Sumatran orangutan)
Lineage: Eukaryota; Metazoa; Chordata; Mammalia; Primates; Hominidae
Description: lincRNA
Source: RNAcentral
GGGCCUAAAGCAACAACCAGAAGCCUUCCUGGGUGUUUACAUUACAGCACACCAGACUGCAGGCACCGCCGCCCCAGACACUGCCUGCAGCUAAAGUCACCAAGUUUGCCAUGCCCAUAACUGAGAUCAUUGGCAGCCCAGCACCAAGCCUCACUGGCAUCAAGGGCAACGGGUUAGUAAGCAUGGCUCCGCACAGGUAAGCAGUUCUAGGAAAUGGGAAGAAACCUAGACCAUUCAUCUCAGGGCCAGGCUUUCCUUCUCCCAUGGUAAGAAGGUGAAGACUUGUCAAUUUGUGAGUCAGGCGAUCAAGGUCAAAUUGACAUACUCUAGAAGAUUACAUGCCGUGUGGAACAGUACUGGGCAGGGGACCCACUGGGACA